This 199-nucleotide long non-coding RNA is filed under the name Mustela putorius furo (domestic ferret). RNAcentral's name for it is "lncRNA (ENSMPUG00000029588.1)". Lineage: Eukaryota; Metazoa; Chordata; Mammalia; Carnivora; Mustelidae. The record is from RNAcentral.
CCUGGUUUCAUUCAGGAGGAGAGGCUCCCAACACUAGGCCCAGGUUCAGAACCUUGUGCUGAUUCAGAGCCUAGAAUAUGUACAGCCUCUCAGCCACAUCCCUCGCCGUGCUGGACAAACAAAGAAGUAGAGAGGAGGCGGGAGCAGAACUGAAGAGUGUAUGGCUCUGCUAAUCCCCGCUGCUUUGAUAAAUCUGAAA